RNAcentral lists this long non-coding RNA (1227 nucleotides) under Homo sapiens (human). RNAcentral's name for it is "HSALNT0217031". The record is from RNAcentral. Lineage: Eukaryota; Metazoa; Chordata; Mammalia; Primates; Hominidae.
UGAGAUUCGACAGGGAAGUUCACUUACACUAAAGGAGAGAUAGGAAAACUUACCUCUUUUCAUCCUUAUGCUGAGGGAGUGCUGGGAGAGUCUUCAGAGCCCAUUCCUCUGAGCUCCGGCCCUUAGAUAACAUCAUUGAAACUUUGCGUGUUACUGCCUUUGACGCUGCCUCCUCUGCAGGACAAGAGCAGCAUAUAGAAGCAAUGAUAAAUAAGCCUGAUAAAAAGAUUGUUUUCUUAAAAGAUCAUUCUUCAGGAUCCUGAUGACCUAAUGAGAUAAUCAAUAUGAUGGCAAUUUAUAAGCUCCUAUGAGGUAAGCCAAUGUUAGCGGAAGUUACUUCCCAGGGCUAAUGACCAGUUGAGCAGUCAUGACCCUGAGUGUGACAUUACUGAAACCAUUCUUUAACCCAAACUGACUAGAAUUUUUCAAGAAACCUCCAAAAGUUAGCACAGUUGCGAGUUACAGAAGGUUCACACUCGGUUUGAUGUGACUUUAAACCUGAGGCAUCUGCCCUGUGAUCACUGACUUCUCCUGAAUCCUAUUAAAGCCUUGAUUCUUGGAGCCAAAAUUCUCCUGGGAGAAAAUAUGAAGGCAGCUUUUUGUCACUGUCAUUGUGGUUAACUGAUGAUCCCUGGGUAUAGCACUAAUAUGAAAUAUAAGGGAAGUAAAAAAGUUUCACUAUUUCCAGGUGUUUCUAGAAAAUAAGGAGGUGAUGGUGAACUGUGAUUUCAGAAAGAAGAGGACAGAGCACUAACACACUGACUAAGCCAUACUACAUUGCAGACCCCAAGCGAGCUCUUUACUCACAGUAUCUCCCUCACCUUUCUUUUUUUGUUUAUUAUACUUUAAGUUUUAGGGUACAUGUGCACAUUGUGCAGGUUAGUUACAUAUGUAUACAUGUGCCAUGCUGGUGUGCUGCACCCACUAACUCGUCAUCUAGCAUUAGGUAUAUCUCCCGAUGCUAUCUCUCCCCCCUCCCCCCACCCCACAACAGUCCCCAGAGUGUGAUAUUCCCCUUCCUGUGUCCAUGUGAUCUCAUUGUUCAAUUCCCACCUAUGAGGGAGAAUAUGCGGUGUUUGGUUUUUUGUUCUUGCGAUAGUUUACUGAGAAUGAUGAUUUCCAAUUUCACCCAUGUCCCUACAAAGGACAUGAACUCAUCAUUUUUUAUGGCUGCAUAGUAUUCCAUGGUGUAUAUGUGCCACAUUUUCUUAAUCCAGUCUAUCAUUU